Bos grunniens (domestic yak) is the source of this 1646-nucleotide long non-coding RNA. The record is from Ensembl. Lineage: Eukaryota; Metazoa; Chordata; Mammalia; Artiodactyla; Bovidae.
CGCAUACUGGGUAAUUACAAUUAUCCUAACAGGUGCCCUAAUAGAAGCAAAGAAGGAGACACAGCAAGAAACAAGGAAGGGGACCUCGAAGCAGGGAAUACUCUAGGCACAGGGCUGCAGGAAGGACAGCAUGGUACAGGGCCAGGUUGCUCCUGGGAUCCGGCCUCCGGAUGUUCAACUGCGGCAGGCACGGGUUCCAGCCCUUGCUCGGGCUGGCCAGCAAGAGCCAGGCCGGAGGGGCGGAAGCUGCCCCCGGAGCAUCGCAUUGGACUGGGCAGGGUCCCCGUAUGACAGCCUCCACCCAGAAGAGUGUCCUCCUCUCCAGGCUGAAGUCGUGCUGCGGAGACAAGACCAGGGGAGGCUCUACCAGGCAAACCAGGGUCUGAGAGCACACUCCUACCUCCUGCCCCCCAGGGAACCUGUUCAGCCAGACUCUCCAGGCCUAGACAGCUUCUGAUUCUAAGCCCCAGCUAUUCAUCGCAGGCCACCCUCACCCUCGGUUUUAGCUAGCAUUGGAGUGGAUGGCUGUCAAUAACAAUUUAAUAGCAAACUCUGUAGACAGGACAACGUGAGGAAUAGGUUAAUAGAAUGAAAGUCUAAGUCCCUUUGCCACUCAGCAUAUAAUUGAACAACAGUGGCCUAAACAAUUUCUCCAGGGGACUUCUCUGGCGGUCGAGAUUGAGAAUCUGCCUUCCAAUGCAGGGGAUGAGGGUUAGAUCCCUGGUGGGAGAAGUAGGAUCCCACGUGCCAGUGGGGGCAACUCAGCCUCUUCACCACAACUCGAGAAGCCAGGGCACCCACAACUACUGAGCCCACAGACUGCAGAGCCUGCACCACUAGAGAGCCCAUGCAUGCAGCAAACAGAGAGCCCACACACGACCCAACAAAGACCCAGUGCUGCCAAAAAAAAAUUUUUUUUUAAUUUCAACAAAACUUUUCCUUCACCAAGAAGCUUUCACUUGAGUUCAGCACCAUUUGCCACUGAGCAGCUGGCCUUGGAGGCUGGCCCAGACACACAAACCUUUGCGUGAAGUAGUACUUGCCCCAUCCCAUGUGCUGCCUUCCAGCUUACUUGGGGGCCCAGGAAAUGGAAAAAUCUUCUUUUUUUUUUUUCCUGAACUCUACUUAGUUGGUCCUAAUGUUAUUCCCAAUUCCAGAUUAUCAAAAGGAGGCUCAGGAAAUUUAGUUUGCUCGAGGUCAGAUCAGUGGUGAGUAAAUGAGCUGGGAUUCCUGUCCAUCUGACUGAUCAAGCCACCUAAAAACUAAAUGUGGAGCCUACAUAAAUAAUUUAAAUUAAGUGUUUAUGUGAAGCAAAAAUAAAAUAUUCCCGUUAACUACUAUUAAAAUUAAGAACUGGAAAUAUAAAACUCCAUUAAAAAAUAUAAAUAUUCUUAAAAGGCAACUUCAGUGCUCUGUGAUGGCCAGGUAAGCCUGGGGGAGUGGGGGGGGGGCGGAUGUGGGAGGCAGAAAGGCAGACAGGAACUGCCUCUCCCCUCACCCAACUCCUGACAUGACCCUAAGUUGGGGAGAGGAACAGAACUUAGCUGUUCUAAGUGUGGUUCCCCGACUGAGGUCAGGGAGUGUAUCUUAUUUCUCUCUGUUCUUGGGGCCCAGGGCAGUUCUGGUUCCAAGGGGAUAUUUGUAAG